Molecule: long non-coding RNA, 798 nt
Organism: Artibeus jamaicensis (Jamaican fruit-eating bat)
Lineage: Eukaryota; Metazoa; Chordata; Mammalia; Chiroptera; Phyllostomidae
Exons: 3
Source: RefSeq, a predicted model, not a curated record
GUCAUUGAGAAAACAUAAACAUGGAGCCUCCUGCAGCCCUGUUUACACUCCUCCAGCCCUGGGGAAAGCAGAGCCCGUUGUGGAAGGGUUGGUUUUGUUCAAAGGCGCUUUUCUUUUUAAAAUGAAAAUUGCAAGAAGUACCCAUUACCAUGAAGACCCACAUCCCGACGACAGACAGACCACAAGAGUGUGGACAGGUGACACUGAGGCAGCUCUGCAGGGCUGUGGCACUGACUGCUGUCAACUUCUUCCUGUCCCUGGAGAAACAGGCUACAGACCCACAAGAAUUCCCUCAUCACAGUUAUGUCCCAAAUGUUUGUGUCUCCCCCAAAUUUGUAUGUUAAAACCCAGCACCAGAGCCUCGGUCUGAGGAGGUACCAGCAAAUAGGUCAGUGUAGCCAAGGACUUCUGUGACAGCUGACGGAUGUCCACUGACGCAGACUCCCUCAGUGAGCCCUGCUGGCCCGGCCACCCUGGCCUCUCUCCUGGGACCCUCCCCCUCCCUGGGACUCUUCAGCACUGCAGGCUGCGGGGCAGCACCCACGCUGGCACGCCGGUAUCUGGUAUCCUUUACUGUGUUUCACAGCUCGCCCCUGAGCACUCACACUGCGCUGGCAGUGGUUUGUCCCUUCUAGAGUACCAUUCAGCAGUUUCUAUCAAAAUGAAAUUGUGCGUACCCUCAGCCCAGCAGUUCUGCUUCCAGUUCUUUUUCCUGCAAAUAGAGAGCAGAGGUGUAUACCCACGAGGGUGCAAAUAGUUCCUGGGAGUAAGCUGAUUCCUGGGGGAAUAAGACGGCAG